GUCAACCGCAAGGGUAUGGCGUUUCUCACAAUGCUUGUCUCAUGGGAACUUUGGAUUGAGCGCAACGCGAGGGUCUUGAACAACAGAUUCAUGACUUUGGGGUUCAUCUUCUAUAAAAUCCGCGAGGAAGCUCUUACUUGGGUUAAGGCGGGAGCCAAGCAUUUGAGUAAAUUAGUGCCGGGAUAG
RNAcentral lists this ribosomal RNA (186 nucleotides) under Triticum aestivum (bread wheat). RNAcentral describes it as "partial small subunit ribosomal RNA". Lineage: Eukaryota; Viridiplantae; Streptophyta; Magnoliopsida; Poales; Poaceae. The record is from RNAcentral.